UGGGAGAAAGACUUUUCACAAAAGGGAAAAAUACCUCUUGACCGAGGAUACAUGCAUGAAUACCAUCUAAAUCAUCAGUAUAUGGUUUUAACUGACUAAUAAACGGUAUGCCAAGAAUAAUAUCUUCAUUGAUAUUUUCAGUUAUUACAAAAUCAUUUGUAAAGCAGAUAUUAUUAUAACAAAUAUGGGCUUUAGACAAUUUGUAAUCUAUUUUCAUCCGCUCUCCUAUAGCGGAAUAUAAACGAGUGGUACCCUUUUGAAGGUACUUCAACGGGA
This 276-nucleotide long non-coding RNA is filed under the name Nicotiana benthamiana. Its description in RNAcentral is "long non-coding RNA (NBEN_LNC032534)". Lineage: Eukaryota; Viridiplantae; Streptophyta; Magnoliopsida; Solanales; Solanaceae. The record is from RNAcentral.